UCUUUAAAGUGAACUCUUAAAGGAAAACGCCAACUUAUUGGGAGUUAAGCUUAUUCACUGUAUCCCCCAGAGUCAGAUAAGUUUGCACCCUUCUCAUCUCCGUGCAUGUUGUAACUCUGUCUGACGCACCCACCGCUAGCCUAGCUCACCACAGAUCCUGGAGGUAACCGGCUCCA
Molecule: long non-coding RNA, 176 nt
Organism: Etheostoma cragini (Arkansas darter)
Lineage: Eukaryota; Metazoa; Chordata; Actinopteri; Perciformes; Percidae
Exons: 3
Source: RefSeq, a predicted model, not a curated record